GAUGAAGAACGUAGCGAAAUGCGAUAAGUAAUGUGAAUUGCAGAAUUCAGUGAAUCAUCGAAUCUUUGAACGCAUCUUGCGCUCCUUGGUAUUCCGAGGAGCAUGCCUGUUUGAGUGUCAUUAAAUUCUCAACCUUACUAGCUUUUGCGAAGUAAGGCUUGGAUGUGGGGGUUACUUUUGCUGGCUUCUAACGAGGUCGGCUCCCCUGAAAUGCAUUAGCGGUGCCCUUGUGGACCCCGACUAUCAGUGUGAUAAUUAUCUACGCUGUUAGGCGCCCACGCUUUAGUGCUGCUUCUAACCGUCCGGUUUCUGGACAACACAAAUGACAUUUUUGACCUCAAAUCAGGUAGGACUACCCGCUGAACUUAAGAAUAUCAAUAAGCGGAGGA
This 389-nucleotide unclassified non-coding RNA is filed under the name soil metagenome. RNAcentral describes it as "partial contains 5.8S ribosomal RNA, internal transcribed spacer 2, and large subunit ribosomal RNA". The stretch from base 1 to 120 matches the Rfam family "5.8S ribosomal RNA", at positions 35 to 154 of the family's 154-position model. The record is from RNAcentral.